CCUAAUUAUAUCAUAGGCCUCAAUAACAAGAUAAAAGAAACCAAUAGUACAGACCACUGUCCUUGGACUUAUUUAAACGAGCCCAAGUUUCAAGCAAGUCCCUUACCAAAAUUAAAGCAUGACCUGCAGUAGAGUGGCGAGAUGGCUCAAGUGGUUUCAAUGUUUUAAUCAUGGCUUCAGCGUGCAGGCUUAUAAACGGCCCAACAGCCUGCAGACUAAAUGAAUUUGUGUAGCUGUGCACUGUAUUUUGCCUCACAAUCACUUUGCAUUUAAUCACUGAUCUACUUUAGAUCUUUGUUUAACCCAAUUCAGGACACAGUCGAGAUCAGCUACUUUAAAUAAAUUGACACAACUUAACCAGUUACACUAUCCUCCAUGGAUCCAAACUCAAAUUAAUAAGAUAUUGUUCAUUUUCGAUUUUAAUUCUAUGCUCGACUCAUUCUAUUUACUUGUCUUUUGACGGAUUCUUAGAUACCACUAGGUGAAUAACAAAUUGGAAAUAAUGACUUUACUAACACAAGUAGACUGAUCAUUUCCUCAUUAAUGCAAACUAAUAUUACUAGUUAGCUAAAAUAGGUAUUAACUAAACUGAAGCUGCAACUAGAUAACUACAAAUUUAAACCGUCCCAAAACAGUCCUCCAAUUGAACACAUUCAAGUCAGAAUUAAACUACAAAUCUAACCUAUAACCAACUAUUAUUACAUCAUGAUCCAAACAAUUCAGCAGUGGUCCUAAUUAAACAGUCCUUAAUAUAAUACAAAUCAAACAAGUUAAGGCUAGGCAACUACAUAUUACUAUACUGAUUAUAACCACAAGUAUUUACGUGAGCAAAGACUUGAAAUACGACUUCAUUUUAUUCCAAUUGAAGGUUGCAUCAGGGCGAAUUCAAAUGUGUACCUGAAAAGUCGAAUUUCAACAGAAGGAAAAGAAAUCAGCAGCAGAAAUCUAGCAAGAAUCAAAACCAGCAACCAGCAGGAAUAAUUUUGAAUCGAAGUUACUUCAUAGAACCCAGAACCAAGUCACAACAAUACAUCACCCAAAACAGGAUCAAUUGAACUCGAAUAUACCCAAAAGCAGAAUCAAUAGACUUCAGAACAAAUUCAGUAACCAGAAUUUGUCCAGAUCUAGAAAUGCAAUGGAACGGUACAUUUUUUGGUUUUCGAAGAGUUUUUAUUAUUAUUUUUAUCCAGAUCUCAAUUUGAGUCUCAAACUAUAGGAUAUUUGGGGAGAAUUUUUUAGGCUCUCCAAAUUUGAGACAAGAGGGGUUGCUCUUAUGGUAAGCAACCCCCACUUCCAAUCGAGAGGUUGUGAGUUCGNNNNNNNNNNNNNNNNNNNNNNNNNNNNNNNNNNNNNNNNNNNNNNNNNNNNNNNNNNNNNNNNNNNNNNNNNNNNNNNNNNNNNNNNNNNNNNNNNNNNNNNNNNNNNNNNNNNNNNNNNNNNNNNNNNNNNNNNGGAGGGAAGGAUGCCGGAGGUCUAUUUGGAAACAACCUCUCUACCCAAGGGUAGGGGUAAGGUCUGCGUACAUACUACCCUCCCAAGACCCCACUAAGUGAGAUUAUACUGGAUUGUUGUUACUGUUGUUAAACUUGUUCUUCAAGGCAUUGGUGAUGCCUUUUAUAGGCAAAAAUGAGGCGCAAAUCAGAUUUCUGUUUGCCCUUUUUAGUCCCCGCUUAUUUUCAGUUCACUCCUCUAAUUAUUAACUUGUUACUCAAGUAAGCACGCUAAGUUUACUGAAAUAUGCACUAAAGUCCUAUUCUAGAAGAUUUUAAGAUAUUCUAGUGUUAACUACCAUGUUCUGCUGAAUACCAAAUACCUAAACUACCCUUGAAUACCUCUAAAAUUACUUACUAAACUAUCUUCUAACGAACCAUAGUUAAUUGGCUACCAAGAUAAGAAUUAAUCAGCUAUAACCCAACACCUAAACUAAUCAAAAUCAAACUGAAAUAAAGACCUACUAAAACACAGAAUAAAAGGAUAAACAAUGAUUAACAGGGUCAAAAUUAAACUAAGGGAAACAACUACUAAAUCAAUCCCAAUUAUUCUAAAAAAAAUCAGAAAAUUUUGAAAGUAAUUAUAAUCACCUAACAAACGAACAAAUUAUGAUUAUUAAGAAGAAACUAAACACAACAGAAACUAACCACAAUUCGACUAAAUUAACGAAAAAGUGCUUGACCUAAAUAAAAAUCAAUCCAACACUAACAAAAACAAAAAUAAGAAAAAGAACAAAUCAAAUCUAAACAGAGUAAAACUAACUAAAAAAAUCGAAGGACUAAGAAAGCUUACCGGUUGUUCUUCAAUUUUAGGAUUCAGACGAUUCCAGUGGGAUUUGAAUGUUAUUGACUGUGAAUUCUUCAAGGGGGAAGCCAAAGGACCAUAUGGUAUUAACUUGGGGUAAUUUGGUGCAACUAGGGUUUUUGGCCGGAAAAUUUCAAACUUAAAUUUGAGGGGUUCCAUUUAGAUUCGAAGGGUGGGGCUUUGGGGGUUCGAUAGAGGAGGGGGAGAGGAACCUAUGGGGUUAUUUUGGACUGGUUUGGGAAGAGUUGUGUUCUGGCCAGAAAAUCUUCAAUCGAUUAUUCGACGGGUUCUAGUGUGUUUGAGGGAAACCGCUUAGAUAUUUGGAAAGAAGGGACGGAGAGGAACAAGGGCUGUUAAUUUUGGUGGGGUUUUGUGGUGGCACCGCCAUCACUGGCGGUGGGAGAAAGAGGCGGCGGGAUUAGGGUUCUUGAGAGAGGUCUCUGGAGAAGAGGAGUGAAGGAGACGAGAGUAGGUCGGGGGUAUAGUUAGGACUGUUAUAUACCAAGAAGACCCUACUUCCUGACUGUUUGAUGAAUUAACAUCUACGACCAGCAUUUAAACUUAAUUAAACAGGGUCGUUU
RNAcentral lists this long non-coding RNA (2876 nucleotides) under Nicotiana benthamiana. RNAcentral describes it as "long non-coding RNA (NBEN_LNC007115)". Lineage: Eukaryota; Viridiplantae; Streptophyta; Magnoliopsida; Solanales; Solanaceae. The record is from RNAcentral.